Molecule: ribosomal RNA, 449 nt
Filed under: uncultured Gemmata sp.
Lineage: Bacteria; Pseudomonadati; Planctomycetota; Planctomycetia; Gemmatales; Gemmataceae
Description: bacterial SSU rRNA
Rfam family: Bacterial small subunit ribosomal RNA
Source: RNAcentral
CCUACGGGGGGCUGCAGUCGAGGAUCUUCGGCAAUGGGCGCAAGCCUGACCGAGCGAGGCCGCGUGGGCGAUGAAGGCCUUCGGGUUGUAAAGCCCUGUCGAGGGGGAGAAAAGCCGCAAGGCGUGAUCUAUCCCUGGAGGAAGCACGGGCUAAGUUCGUGCCAGCAGCCGCGGUAAGACGAACCGUGCGAACGUUGUUCGGAAUCACUGGGCUUAAAGGGCGCGUAGGCGGGCUAUCAAGUCCGGGGUGAAAUCCUCCAGCUCAACUGGAGAACGGCCUCGGAUACUGAUGGUCUCGAGGAGGAUAGGGGCACACGGAACUGUGGGUGGAGCGGUGAAAUGCGUUGAUAUCCAUAGGAACUCCGGUGGCGAAAGCGGUGUGCUGGAUCCUUUCUGACGCUGAGGCGCGAAAGCCAGGGGAGCAAACGGGAUUAGAUACCCUGGUAGUC